GGAGUCAUCGUGGGCCACAGCUGGAAACGGGCACAUUAAGAGUGACAAGGAUUUUGGCAGUCGCAGAACCUGAGACUUUGAGUCUUGCUUUUCAACCAAACCAAAUGGGAUGUCUGGAGCCUUCAUUAGGAAGAAACAACCUGCUACGCCAUGGCUCUCACAUUGCCUCAUCCCCCUAAGGACGGAAGAAAGCCCCAAGGUGCCUAUUCAUCAAGGGACAGGCAUCAAGGACCUAAGAAAUCACUGGAACCAAAACAUGGAUCAGUGAGACCUGAAAGAACUUAUACCUUCCUCCAAAAAGGAUGCUGAUUUGGCUAAUUGUGUUGCCCACAAGGGUAUCUCUUCUUGCUUUAUUGGUUCACAAGUG
RNAcentral lists this long non-coding RNA (367 nucleotides) under Dasypus novemcinctus (nine-banded armadillo). RNAcentral's name for it is "lncRNA (ENSDNOG00000051306.1)". The record is from RNAcentral. Lineage: Eukaryota; Metazoa; Chordata; Mammalia; Cingulata; Dasypodidae.